Schizosaccharomyces pombe (fission yeast) is the source of this 201-nucleotide non-coding RNA. NCBI's taxonomy places the organism in Eukaryota, Fungi, Ascomycota, Schizosaccharomycetes, Schizosaccharomycetales, Schizosaccharomycetaceae. The record is from the annotation of a GenBank genome assembly.
AACAAGACAAGCAGGCGAUCCAAAAAUUUACAAUGGAAACAGAUAUUCAAAGUUAAAUCAACACUGAAAGUCAACAGAUAAAUGACUUUGCAUUUUUACGUUUAGAACAAAGAUUUUCAAACCUGCCCAGCCAAGCUGGUCAGCCGUGUCGACUAAGUUAGCUUGUCCCAACUUUACGCACCUUAAUCCAUCGCCUUCGGU